This 507-nucleotide ribosomal RNA is filed under the name uncultured bacterium. RNAcentral describes it as "partial 16S ribosomal RNA". It matches the Rfam family "Bacterial small subunit ribosomal RNA", at positions 899 to 1397 of the family's 1533-position model. The record is from RNAcentral.
ACUCAAAUGAAUUGACGGGGACCCGCACAAGCGGUGGAGUAUGUGGUUUAAUUCGAGGCUACGCGAAGAACCUUACCUAGGCUUGACAUGCUUGAAGUAGGCCUGAUGAAAGUUGGGCCGACCGUAUCCAAUCGGAGUCUUGCACAGGUGCUGCAUGGCUGUCGUCAGCUCGUGCUGUGAAGUGUUGGGUUAAGUCCCGCAACGAGCGCAACCAUUGCCCUUAGUUGCCAACAGGUAAAGCUGGGAACUCUAAGGGGACCGCCAGUGAUAAACUGGAGGAAGGUGGAGAUGACGUCAAGUCAGCAUGGCCCUUACGCCUAGGGCUACACACGUACUACAAUGGCCGGUACAAAGGGCCGCGAAUCCGCGAGGAGGAGCAAAUCCCAAAAAGCCGGCCCCAGUUCGGAUUGUAGGCUGCAAUUCGCCUGCAUGAAGUCGGAAUCGCUAGUAAUGGCGCAUCAGAACGGCGCCGUGAAUACGUUCCCGGGUCUUGUACACACCGCCCGU